Molecule: ribosomal RNA, 253 nt
Filed under: uncultured bacterium
Lineage: Bacteria
Description: partial 16S ribosomal RNA
Rfam family: Bacterial small subunit ribosomal RNA
Source: RNAcentral
CACGUAGGGCGCGAGCGUUGUCCGGAAUUAUUGGGCGUAAAGAGCUCGUAGGCGGCCUGUUGCGUCCGCUGUGAAAGCCCGGGGCUUAACCCCGGGUCGGCAGUGGAUACGGGCAGGCUAGAGGUAGGUAGGGGAGAAUGGAAUUCCCGGUGUAGCGGUGAAAUGCGCAGAUAUCGGGAAGAACACCCGUGGCGAAGGCGACUCUCUGGAACGCAACUGACGCUGAGACGCGAAAGCGUGGGGAGCAAACAGG